AUCUGCACCACACAGGGUGAUUAGGGUGUCCCCAGGCACACUGGGCAUACCCUGUGCGCACGCCUAUGACUUUCACGUACAAGUCCACUUGCCCAUGCUUACUCUUUGAUUGGCCGGUGAAAGGAGAAGGAGCAGACCGAUGAGCCUAUCUCUCAGGUUACUCUGCCCUAUUAGUGUGUCUCCUCACCCCGCAGCACAUCUGACUUGUCUUUUUCUCCCAGUCUGAGCACUGCUGUACAGGGACUGCGAAAGGAUGUGUUCCAAGUCAGAUACAGGUACUUACACUGCUUGCACUGAAAAUAAAUACAUGUAAAGAUAUAUUAAUAAAUACAGAGUAUUUUAUAUCGAAAUUCAGCUUUAAUGCUGUACCUAUUAUGGUAGAUUUCCCAUCACUCCCUGUGGGGUCACCUGGACGUGAGGUGGUCACCUGGAUGUGAGGUGGUCACCUGGACGUGAGGUGGUCACCUGGACAUGAGGUGGUCACCUGGAAGUGAGGUGGUCACCUGGAUGUGAGGUGGUCACCUGGAAGUGAGGUGGUCACCUGGAUGUGAGGUGGUCACCUGGACGUGAGGUGGACACCUGGACGUGAGGUGGACACCUGGAUGUGGGGUGGUCACAUGGACAUGAGGUGGACACCUGGACGUGAGGUGGUCACCUGGAAGUGAGGUGGUCACCUGGACGUGAGGUGGUCACCUGGAUGUGAGGUGAUCACAUGGACAUGAGGUGGACACCUGGACGUGAGGUGGACACCUGGAUGUGGGGUGGUCACAUGGACAUGAGGUGGACACCUGGACGUGAGGUGGUCACCUGGACGUGAGGUGGUCACCUGGAUGUGAGGUGAUCACAUGGACGUGAGGUGAUCACAUGGACAUGAGGUGGACACCUGGACGUGAGGUGGACACCUGGAUGUGGGGUGGUCACAUGGAUGUGAGGUGGUCACCUGGACGUGAGGUGGUCAUCUGGACGUGAGGUGGUCACAUGGACAUGAGGUGGUCACCUGGACGUGAGGUGGUCACCUGGAAGUGAGGUCGGACUGUCUUAUAAAAGAGGUUGUGUACAAAAUUUGCUGAUGUAUAAUUUUUUAACCCCUUGGGAAAUGAAUGUUUAUAUUGUAAAUUGGAAAUCAUGAUGUACAUAUUGUUGGAAAAACAGGAAGUGAUUCUAAUGGCAAUAAAACAUGAAAUAUCUUGGAA
This is a long non-coding RNA of Rana temporaria (common frog), 1193 nucleotides long. RefSeq lists it as uncharacterized. The transcript is spliced from 4 exons. Lineage: Eukaryota; Metazoa; Chordata; Amphibia; Anura; Ranidae. The record is from RefSeq and is a predicted model, not a curated record.